Molecule: ribosomal RNA, 2220 nt
Filed under: gut metagenome
Description: bacterial LSU rRNA
Rfam family: Bacterial large subunit ribosomal RNA
Source: RNAcentral
AGUGCACAGGGUGGAUGCCUUGGCGAUUACAGGCGAUGAAGGACGUAGAAGCUUGCGAUAAGCUGCGGGGAGUUGGCAAACAAACAUUGAUCCGCAGAUUUCCGAAUGGGGAAACCCGACCUUAGGGUCAUCAAUAACUGAAUCCAUAGGUUAUUGAAGCGAACGUAGCGAACUGAAACAUCUAAGUAGCUACAGGAAAAGAAAUCAACCGAGAUUCCCAGAGUAGUGGCGAGCGAAAUGGGAAGAGCCUGCAAGAAAUAGUGAAAUGAGAUAGUGGAACAUUCUGGAAAGGAUGGCAAUAGAGGGUGAUAGCCCCGUACACGAAAUCCAUUUUACAGUACUAAGCUUGCGACAAGUAGGGCGGGACACGUGAAAUCCUGUCUGAAGAUGGGGGGACCAUCCUCCAAGGCUAAAUACUCGUAAUCGACCGAUAGUGAACCAGUACCGUGAGGGAAAGGCGAAAAGAACCCCGGGAGGGGAGUGAAAUAGAUCCUGAAACCGUGUGCAUACAAACAGUAGGAGCCUGUAUUUAUAUGGGUGACUGCGUACCUUUUGUAUAAUGGGUCAGCGACUUACAUUCAGUGGCGAGGUUAACCGAAUAGGGGAGCCGAAGAGAAAUCGAGUCCGAAUAGGGCGAGAGUCGCUGGGUGUAGACCCGAAACCAAGUGAUCUACUCAUGGCCAGGAUGAAGGUGCGGUAACACGCACUGGAGGUCCGAACCCACUAACGUUGAAAAGUUAGGGGAUGAGCUGUGGGUAGGGGUGAAAGGCUAAACAAACUUGGAGAUAGCUGGUUCUCUCCGAAAACUAUUUAGGUAGUGCCUCAAGUAUCACCAUUAGGGGUAGAGCACUGUUAUGGCUAGGGGGUCAUCGCGACUUACCAAACCAUUGCAAACUCCGAAUACUAAUGAGUGCGAGCUUGGGAGACAGACAUCGGGUGCUAACGUCCGGUGUCAAGAGGGAAACAACCCAGACCGCCAGCUAAGGUCCCAAAGAUUGGCUAAGUGGAAAACGAAGUGGGAAGGCUAAAACAGUCAGGAGGUUGGCUUAGAAGCAGCCAUCCUUUAAAGAAAGCGUAAUAGCUCACUGAUCGAGUCGUCCUGCGCGGAAGAUGUAACGGGGCUAAGCCAGUCACCGAAGCUGCGGAUAUCCGUAAGGAUAUGGUAGGAGAGCGUUCUGUAAGCCUGAGAAGGUGUGUUGAGAAGCAUGCUGGAGGUAUCAGAAGUGCGAAUGCUGACAUGAGUAGCGAUAAUGGGGGUGAAAAGCCCCCACGCCGUAAGCCCAAGGUUUCCUGUUCAACGUUCAUCGGAGCAGGGUGAGUCGGCCCCUAAGGCGAGGCAGAGAUGCGUAGCUGAUGGGAAGCAGGUUAAUAUUCCUGCACCGUCGUUAGAUGCGAUGGGGGGACGGAUCGCGGAAAGUCGUCCGGGUGUUGGAAGUCCCGGUUAUUGAUUCGAAGGAGGCUACUAGGCAAAUCCGGUAGCGUAAUCCAAGGAAUUGAAACGAGUGGCCUUGUGCCGCGAAGCGAUUGGAAGUGGUUCCAAGAAAAGCCUCUAAGCUUCAGUCUAACGAGACCGUACCGCAAACCGACACAGGUGGGCGAGAUGAGUAUUCUAAGGCGCUUGAGAGAACUCGGGAGAAGGAACUCGGCAAAUUGGUACCGUAACUUCGGGAUAAGGUACGCCCUUGUAUCUUGACUGGCCUGCGCCAGGAGGGAGAAGGGGUUGCAAAAAAAUGGUGGCUGCGACUGUUUAAUAAAAACACAGCACUCUGCUAACACGAAAGUGGACGUAUAGGGUGUGACGCCUGCCCGGUGCUGGAAGAUUAAAUGAUGGGGUGAGAGCUCUUGAUUGAAGUCCCAGUAAACGGCGGCCGUAACUAUAACGGUCCUAAGGUAGCGAAAUUCCUUGUCGGGUAAGUUCCGACCUGCACGAAUGGCGUAACGAUGGCCACACUGUCUCCUCCCGAGACUCAGCGAAGUUGAAAUGGUUGUGAUGAUGCAAUCUACCCGCGGCUAGACGGAAAGACCCCAUGAACCUUUACUGUAGCUUUACAUUGGACUUUGAACCAAUCUGUGUAGGAUAGGUGGGAGGCUUUGAAGCGUGAACGCCAGUUUGCGUGGAGCCGACCUUGAAAUACCACCCUGGUUUGUUUGAGGUUCUAACCUUGGCCCGUUAUCCGGGUUGGGGACAGUGUAUGGUAGGCAGUUUGACUGGGGCGGUCU